CUCAGAACGAACGCUGGCGGCGCGUCUAAGCAUGCAAGUCGAACGGCAAGAGGUAGCAAUACCUCCUAGAGUGGCGGACUGGUGAGUAACACGUGGGUGACAUACCCUUCAGAUGGGGAUAGCUAUUAGAAAUAGUAGAUAAUACCGAAUACGAGCACAGGGAUUAGAGAUCUGUGAAGAAAGGAGCUAAGGCUCCGCUGAAGGAAUGGCCUGCGGCCCAUUAGCUAGUUGGUGAGGUAAGAGCCCACCAAGGCGAUGAUGGGUAUCCGGCCUUAGAGGGUGAACGGACACAUUGGGACUGAGAUACGGCCCAGACUCCUACGGGAGGCAGCAGCUAAGGAUAUUCCGCAAUGGACGAAAGUCUGACGGAGCGACGCCGCGUUGGAUGAAGAAGGCCGGAAGGUUGUAAAAAUCCUUUUGAAACUGAAGAAUAAGCGUUGUAGGGAAUGACAGCGUGGUGACAGUAGGUUUUGAAUAAGCAACGGCUAAUUACGUGCCAGCCGCCGC
RNAcentral lists this ribosomal RNA (507 nucleotides) under uncultured bacterium. RNAcentral's name for it is "bacterial SSU rRNA". It matches the Rfam family "Bacterial small subunit ribosomal RNA", at positions 23 to 518 of the family's 1533-position model. The record is from RNAcentral.